GGUUCCAUGAUGAUGUUUUUGCCUUCUCUCUGGAGAAGAGUUGUCUUAAAAGUCAUGCUCUAUAGAGUUACGCUGAGGACC
This 81-nucleotide small nucleolar RNA is filed under the name Carlito syrichta (Philippine tarsier). RNAcentral describes it as "Small nucleolar RNA SNORD115 (ENSTSYG00000030501.1)". It matches the Rfam family "Small nucleolar RNA SNORD115". Rfam says of the family: HBII-52 is a member of the C/D class of snoRNAs, which contain the C (UGAUGA) and D (CUGA) box motifs. HBII-52 is encoded in a tandemly repeated array with another C/D snoRNA, HBII-85, in the Prader-Willi syndrome (PWS) region of chromosome 15. HBII-52 is exclusively expressed in the brain but is absent in PWS patients. Lineage: Eukaryota; Metazoa; Chordata; Mammalia; Primates; Tarsiidae. The record is from Rfam by way of RNAcentral.